This 418-nucleotide long non-coding RNA is filed under the name Glycine max (soybean). RNAcentral's name for it is "long non-coding RNA (GMAX_LNC000710)". Lineage: Eukaryota; Viridiplantae; Streptophyta; Magnoliopsida; Fabales; Fabaceae. The record is from RNAcentral.
AGUUUCUGAUAAGACUCGAUUGUGAAGACUCAUCCAAGCCCACCAUCGUAGCAAUGGAAGGUUGGGGUGAUAUUGCACUUGGUUCCGACCUCUGCAGCAGCAAUUCUGGUUGUAUUGCCUCUUCUGUACUUGAGGGACGCGUAGCAUGCCAUUGCAGCGGCAAAGAUGAUAGCUGGUCCCACAAUGGAUAAUGUGAUGAUUCCAAAAACUCGAAGACCAUGUUGUGGAGGAGCUGAAACUUCAAUAGUACUACUGAUAGUGAGUAAAUACUAGAGCGGGUUGGCCUUCUAUAUUUCAAUUACAUCCCACAUUAUAUUAGUCUUUAAAAAAUUUAAUGAUCAAAUCAGUUACCGUUUGUUAAAGAUUUUGUUGUAAAAUUUAAUUCCUUGAAUAACACCAAUUUAACUGUUCUGUGUGA